This 376-nucleotide ribosomal RNA is filed under the name uncultured bacterium. Its description in RNAcentral is "bacterial SSU rRNA". It matches the Rfam family "Bacterial small subunit ribosomal RNA", at positions 524 to 898 of the family's 1533-position model. The record is from RNAcentral.
UACGUAGGGGCCGAGCGUUGUCCGGAGUUACUGGGCGUAAAGCGCGCGCAGGUGGCCCAUUACGCCCGGCGUGAAAGCCCCCGGCUCAACCGGGGAGGGUCGUCGGGUACGGGUGGGCUUGAGGGCAUCAGGGGCUGGUGGAAUUCCCGGUGUAGUGGUGAAAUGCGUAGAGAUCGGGAGGAACACCCGUGGCGAAGGCGGCCAGCUGGGGUGCACCUGACACUGAGGCGCGAAGGCGUGGGGAGCGAACGGGAUUAGAUACCCCGGUAGUCCACGCAGUAAACGAUGCCGACUAGGCGUGGGGGGACUUGACCCCCUCCGUGCCGGAGCCAACGCGUGAAGUCGGCCGCCUGGGGAGUACGGCCGCAAGACUAAA